Molecule: ribosomal RNA, 426 nt
Filed under: uncultured bacterium
Lineage: Bacteria
Description: bacterial SSU rRNA
Rfam family: Bacterial small subunit ribosomal RNA
Source: RNAcentral
GGGGAAUUGUUCGCAAUGGGCGCAAGCCUGACGACGCAACGCCGCGUGGGGGAUGAAGGUCUUCGGAUUGUAAACCCCUGUUGGGUGGGACGAACACUUCCAUGGUGAACAGCCAUGGAGACUGACGGUACCACCUGAGGAAGCCCCGGCUAACCCUGUGCCAGCAGCCGCGGUAAUACAGAGGGGGCAAGCGUUGUUCGGAAUUACUGGGCGUAAAGAGCUCGUAGGCGGUUUGGCAAGUCGGGUGUGAAAACUCCGGGCUCAACUCGGAGACGCCACUCGAUACUGCUAUGACUCGAGUCCGGUAGGGGAGUGCGGAAUUCCUGGUGUAGCGGUGAAAUGCGCAGAUAUCAGGAGGAACACCGGUGGCGAAGGCGGCACUCUGGGCCGGAACUGACGCUGAGGAGCGAAAGCGUGGGGAGCGAA